This 253-nucleotide ribosomal RNA is filed under the name uncultured bacterium. Its description in RNAcentral is "partial 16S ribosomal RNA". It matches the Rfam family "Bacterial small subunit ribosomal RNA", at positions 524 to 776 of the family's 1533-position model. The record is from RNAcentral.
UACGAAGGGGGCUAGCGUUGCUCGGAAUCACUGGGCGUAAAGCGCACGUAGGCGGAUUGCUAAGUCAGGGGUGAAAUCCUGGAGCUCAACUCCAGAACUGCCUUUGAUACUGGCGAUCUCGAGUUCGGGAGAGGUGAGUGGAACUGCGAGUGUAGAGGUGAAAUUCGUAGAUAUUCGCAAGAACACCAGUGGCGAAGGCGGCUCACUGGCCCGAUACUGACGCUGAGGUGCGAAAGCGUGGGGAGCAAACAGG